UCCUACGGGGGGCAGCAGUGGGGAAUACUGCACAAUGGGGGAAACCCUGAUGCAGCGACGCCGCGUGAGUGAAGAAGUAUUUCGGUAUGUAAAGCUCUAUCAGCAGGGAAGAUAAUGACGGUACCUGACUAAGAAGCCCCGGCUAACUACGUGCCAGCAGCCGCGGUAAUACGUAGGUAGCAAGCGUUAUCCGGAAUGAUUGGGCGUAAAGGGUGCGCAGGCGGAACCAUAAGUCUGAAGUAAAAGCCAUCGGCUCAACCGAUGUAAGCUUUGGAAACUGUGGAUCUGGAGUGCAGGAGAGGACA
Molecule: ribosomal RNA, 305 nt
Filed under: uncultured bacterium
Lineage: Bacteria
Description: bacterial SSU rRNA
Rfam family: Bacterial small subunit ribosomal RNA
Source: RNAcentral